CUUCAAAGAUCUGCCCGUUCCACGCCCGGAAGCGCACAGCCCGCUUGGCUGGGGUCUGCCCCGUGCCCUCCUGCCACACGGUCAUGUUAAGGCAGUGGAUGGUGAUGUGCUGUGUCACUUCAGAGCUUAGCAGGUGCAGAAAAUUCAUCUGGACCCGGCUGACAGCAAACUCGACCUGUGGCAGAAACACGGCAGUGAGUGCUGAGGAGCCCUAAGCCCCCACCCUGGACCCCAAUAAAAGCAGAACCCCAGGCCCCUGCACACACGCCUCUCUCCACCAGCGACCUGGCUGUGCGCCCCCGUUGUGCUGUGGGAUUUUCAGGUCCGAUCCUUCACAUUUCCAAGCGAAUGUUAGACUCAGCUUCUUAUUUUCCACAAGGAAGCCUUGAUGGGAUUUUGAUUGGGAUUGCGUUGAAUCCAGAUACCAACUGGAGGAAAACUGACAUCUUAACGAUAUUGCGCCUUUGACCAGCGAACACAGAAAUAGGCAGCCAAGGAGGCAGAAUGACUCCAAAGUCCCGGUGAACUCUGGGUGGACCUGGAAGGGGGAGGUCAGACUCCACGGGGGAGGUCAUCCUGCCUGUGUGUGUGAGGACAGCUGGACCAGUGAAACACCAGGAGCUGCGCAUUUGCAGGAAACAAGAUGACAAGAGGUGAGAGCGCAUGGGCGAGUGAGGACUUGAGAGGCACAGUGAUGAAGGACAGGAACUCGGAAGUGAAGAAUCUGGGCUGUAAGUUUGGGUCUCGGCUCUGCCCCACCUCGCCGUGUGAUUCGGAGCAGGCCCUGUGCCUUUCUGGGGCCUGGCCUCCCAGACAAGCCAUGUUGGCCCCCGGCACACCUCUAAGAGGGGUGCCAGCGCGGAUGCAGAACUGGGUUAAGACCCUUCCCUUCCGCAGACAGCAGGUGCGACGCCCAGACAGGGAGCGAACGUGGCACCCGCCAUGGGAAGGAAGGACUCAGUGAAGGCACUCAGAGGGGGACGGCGCUUCUGGCUGCCCACCCCCGCCCAGCCCACCAGCGGCCUCUGACCCCCACGCUGCUCUGUGGGCACAGGGACCUUCAGUGGCCCGAGGGCCACCCGCAGCAGGGAGGUGGUAGGGGCUGAGGCCGAGGCACUCCUGGGUCCCUGCCUGUAGGACAGAAUUCCAGAAGGGGGUAGGUGAG
Molecule: long non-coding RNA, 1165 nt
Organism: Leopardus geoffroyi (Geoffroy's cat)
Lineage: Eukaryota; Metazoa; Chordata; Mammalia; Carnivora; Felidae
Exons: 5
Source: RefSeq, a predicted model, not a curated record